This 253-nucleotide ribosomal RNA is filed under the name uncultured bacterium. Its description in RNAcentral is "partial 16S ribosomal RNA". It matches the Rfam family "Bacterial small subunit ribosomal RNA", at positions 524 to 776 of the family's 1533-position model. The record is from RNAcentral.
UACGGGGGGGGCAAGCGUUGUUCGGAAUUACUGGGCGUAAAGGGCUCGGAGGUGGCCAACUAAGUCAGACGUGAAAUCCCUCGGCUUAACCGGGGAACUGCGUCUGAUACUGGAUGGCUUGAGUUUGGGAGAGGGACGCGGAAUUCCAGGUGUAGCGGUGAAAUGCGUAGAUAUCUGGAGGAACACCGGUGGCGAAGGCGGCGUCCUGGACCAACACUGACACUGAUGAGCGAAAGCCAGGGGAGCAAACGGG